GAAAUGCGAUACGUAAUGUGAAUUGCAGGAUUCAGCGAAUCAUCAAAUUCUUGAACGCAAAUGGCGCUCCGCGGCUCGUCCGUGGAGCAUGUCUGUUUGAGUGUCAGUAACAUCCUCACAACCUCUCCUAUGAGGGGGAGUGGAUUGAUGACGGUUGGCGGUCCUCAGCGACGUCAUCCGUUGAAGCGCAGAGGAGUCCCGGCUUCAAUCUAGCCGCGACGUGGUGAAGUAGGAAUCUCACGAUUUACAACUACACCGCUCGCGCCGGAGCACGGACGUCUCCUUAGACAAGGGAAGGCCCUCUUUUCUCUCUCAGGCCCUCGCGGCCUGCUUGCAGACGAGAGAGCCCCUACCUACAACAAUGACCUCAAAUCAGGCAAGACUACCCGCCGAAUUUAA
Molecule: unclassified non-coding RNA, 399 nt
Filed under: uncultured Mortierella
Lineage: Eukaryota; Fungi; Mortierellomycota; Mortierellomycetes; Mortierellales; Mortierellaceae
Description: sequence contains ITS1
Rfam family: 5.8S ribosomal RNA (bases 1-106)
Source: RNAcentral